ACGAACACGUUUUUCUGUUGUUUUACAAAUGGCGAUGACACUCUGAGACGCACUAAUCAGACCACCUCGAGACUUUCGACGAAGAAGAGCACUGUGUAGAGUUCUGUCUGUGAGAGCGUCGAUGCAGUCAGCACAGGAGAUCUUCCUUGUCACCAUCUUGACAACGUACCCCGCGAUGUACCCCACAACAUCUUCAACAAAGGCUGACAGUUGCUCUGUAUCAGGUACAUCUGCGUAGUCGUGGUCUUCAACGCAUUCACUCUGUGCAGUACCAAAAUAGCGGGAUGCAUGAAUGUCAAGUUCGUCAAGGGAAGUAGCUCCUGCUGCUGCUGUCACAGUCAGUAUGCGUGUGGAGUCUUGGGCGAUACAAUUACCUCGUGCUGUAGGCUCGAUUUCAUGGUGAACAAGGAGCCUCUUGUAUGCAGCCAUGAAGUGUCCUGCCGUCGGGUUGUUGCACCACCCACCUUUACCCCUCAACGCACAAAAGAAAAGUUCGAGGUGGUCUUGAGAGAGUUUGUAUGUGAGCAGGUACCUUAAGAGUGCAUUAUCUCCUGAAAGAAGAUGGCUGCAUAGGCUUUGAAUGCUUGCCAUGUUGAUGAGGAAUCCAAGGAAGCCUGUUUUUCGUGGGGAUUCUAAUAUUGGCUUUCCAGAUGCAUCUUUCAGGUUGCCAAUAUACGCAGUCAUCUCGUUGAAGAAUGGAAUCCAAAGGUGGCGGGUUGGAUAACGGAUGGGUGCUUUGAAGUUCUUUGCCAGGGAAUUGCGGGAGUUCAUGAUGUCGAACAGACGAUCGAACUUCCUGAGGAAUUCCACUGUUGCCUCACAUCCAUGAAACAUUGGAUUGUUUAUGUCCCUGUCACAGAACUCCAGAGCAUCCACCACACUUGAGCUGAGUGUCUGAGCUGCCAAAUUCACCUUCAUCUUCUGACUUCCCCAGUCAAUGUGGGCAGCCUUGAGCUUGUUUCCAGCAUGAAGCCCUUCCGAUUGCUGCAGAUUUUGGAGGGAUACGAGGUAGGCCCACUUUAUUGUGCCUCCAUUGCUGUCUUUCAGGGUCCCCAUUGUUGCCAGGGCAUUACGAAUCAGCUUCAGCAUGUGGCAAGCAUCGAGGAUUACAUGAACUCUCCAGGAAGAAUCAGAAGGGUGCUGAAACCAUGGCCUGAUGUCGGGGCUUCUCAUGUUUGCACCAAGGUCUUGAAACAUGGCUGUUGAUCAGAAAGUAUGCACAUGGCACUUUCCAGUUACUGUCCAAAGCAACCACAAGGAAUACAAGAGCUUGUGUAGCUGGUUCCUGGCUGUCGCCAUCAAUGCCAGUACCUAGGUUUAUGAAGCCAUUAAAGGACUGUCCUGUGAA
Molecule: long non-coding RNA, 1348 nt
Organism: Ornithodoros turicata
Lineage: Eukaryota; Metazoa; Arthropoda; Arachnida; Ixodida; Argasidae
Exons: 2
Source: RefSeq, a predicted model, not a curated record